CAACCAGAAAUACAAAAACAAAAAACAAAAAAAAAAUACUAAAAAGUUGAAAGUAAUAAACUAGAAAGCAAAAUGAUGAUGAUCAGCAAAACCAAAACUUGUAAAUAUUGCUGCAAUAAACAUACAUGUGUGCGUAUUUAUAGUAGAAUGAUUUAUAAUCCUUUGGGUAUAUACCCAAAGGAUUAUAAAUCAUUCUAUUAUAAAAACACAUGCACAUGUAUGUUUAUUAUGGCCCUGUUCACAAUAGCAAAGACUUGGAAGCAACCCAAAUGCCCAUCAGUGAUAGACUGGUCGGGCACAUAUACAUCAUGGAAUACUAUGCAGCCAGAAAAAAGGAUGAGUUCAUGUCCUUUGUAGGGACAUGGAUAAAGCUGGAUACCAUUACUCUCAGGAAACUGACACAAUAACACAAAAGCAAACACUGCAUGUUCUUACUCAUAAGUGGGAAUUGAACAAUAAGAACACAUGGACACAGGGAGGGGAAUAUCACACACCAGGGCCUGUUGAGGAGUUGGUGGUGACGGGAGGGAUAGCAUUAGGAGAAUUACCUAAUGUAGAUGAUGGGGUGAUGGAGGCAGUAAACUACCAUAGCAUGUGUAUACCUAUGUAACAAACCUGCGCAUUCUGGACAUGUACCUGACAACUUAAAGUAUAAUUAAAAGAAAAAAUAAAUAAAAAUAAAUCAUCUAAUCCUCACUAAAAAAUAUAUAAACAAAUUCAGCAGUGGAACAGGAUAGAAAAUCAACAUACUAAAUUCAGUAGCAUUCCUUUAACAAUAAACUCAGAAAAAAGAAAUUUCAUUCACAAUAGCUGCAAAAACAGAAACCACCUAGGAACAAAGUUAACCGAAGAGGCCAAAAACCUGAAUAAUUAAAUCCAUUAAAAAACUGAGACAAGUUGAAAAAUAAAAGCAUAGAAUAAUAAAAAGACAAGUUUUCUUCAUGGAUUAGAAGAAUUGAUAUUGUUAAAAUGUCAAAUUUAUCUAUAGUAAUGCACAGAUUCAAUGCAAUCCCUAUCAAAAUUCUAGUGACUUUUUAAUAGCAAUUGUAACAGCAUUUCUAAAAUUUGUAUGAAACCACAAAAACUCUAAAGUGCUGAAAUAAUCUUGCACAUACAGAAAAGGUGAAUCCAUCAAGCUACCUGACUUCAAAAUAUACUGUAUAGCUUUAGUAAUCAAGCAGCAUAAUAUUUGUAUAAAAACAGACACACAGACCAAUGGAACAGAGAGCCUAGAACAGAGGCUUUAGAAUAGAGAGCCUAGAAAUACGUCUAUUCAUUAUGAUCAAGUGAUUUUUGACAAAGUUGCCAAAAAUAAUGUGGAAAGAAAAUCUCUUCAAUAAAUGCCGUUAGAAAAACUGAUUAUUUACAUAAAGCAAAAUGAAAUUUGACCCUUAUCUUACACUAUUAUAUAAAAAACAAUUCAAAAUAUAUUAAAGACUUAAAUCUAAGGCAUAAAAUUGUCAUACUAGUAGAAGAAAACAUAGAGAAAUAUUUGAUGACAUUCAUCUGGGCAAUAAUAUUUUAAAUAUGACCCCAAAGGCACAGGCAAAAGAAGCAAAAAUAAAUAAAUAUAAGAUUAAGCUAAAAAUCUUUUGUACAACAAAGAAAACAAUCAAUAAAGUGAAAAACCAACCAAUGGAAUGAAAGAAAAUGUUUGCAAACCAUUAACUUGAUAAGGGAUGAAUAUAUAAAAUACAUAAGGAACACAAACUACUCAAUAAUAACAAAAGAAACAAUCUGAUGAGGAAAUGGGUAAAGGAACUGGAUAUAUAUUUUUCAAAAGAAGACAUACAAAUAGAUGACAAGUACAUGAAAAAAUUCUCAACAUCACUAGUCAUCAGAUAAAUGCAAAUCAAAAUUAAAAUUGCAUGUCACCUCACACCUAAUAAAAUGCCUAUUACCAAAAUGACGAAUGUUAUCAUUACUGGUGAGGAUGGAGAGAAAAGAGAACCCUCAAGCUCCAACUUAUUUAAAUUAUCCAUGUUUCACAUUCCUUUUUUUCUAUAAUGAGAAUAAUAAUAAUUUCAUUCAAAUUAUUUUGAAAUUUAUAUAAUUUAUAAAUGCCUGCUGCUUUGUAGGUACUUCAUACAUAUUAAGUUUUAAAAACUUGAAAAAAAAUUGCAAAAAAAAUUUAAAGUACAAUAUUAGGAACACAGGAAAAUUAAUUAUUUGAAUGUAAAAGUAAACAAAAAUAUAGAAGAAAAUCUUCAUAACUUUGGGGUAAACAAUGAUUACUUAGUACAAAAGAUAUAGAAUUACUUAGUACACAAGAUAUAGAAUAAAAAUCUAGUAACUUGGAUUUCUGAGAACUAAAACUUGAGCUCUUUAAAAAUAUUUCUAAUAUGCUAGGAAUUUUCCCUGUAAAAUGCGAAAAAGCAAACCAAGACAAAUGCUAUGUGCAAUCCAUACAUUUGACAAAAUAUUUCUAUCUAGAAUGUAUAAAGAAACCUUAAAAUAAAAACUCAACCCAAUAAAACUUGUGAGUUAUUUGUAAAGACACUUGAUAAAAGAAAAUAUAUGAAGGGCUAAUAAAUGUGAAAGUUAUUCAACACAAUUAAUCGCUGAGAAAUGAAAAUAAAAUUAUAAUAUGGUGCCAUUACAUAACCACUGACAAAGCUAAAAUUUGAAAAAGAAGGCAAAACAAAAGAAAACAAACUACUUUUGAUGAACAAAUGGAAAAGUUAUAACUGUAAUGCUUACUGGCAGGAAUGAAAAGUGGUACAACCAUUUUAGAAAAAAAAUGUCAAGUUUUUAUAAAAUUAAAUAUACAGUUACUAUGUAACUCAGUAAUUACACUCUUAGGUAUUUACUCCAAGUAAAUGAAAGCCUGUGCCCACACAUAGUUGCGUGCAUAAAUAUUUAGUAGCUUUAUUCAUAAUCAUCCCAAACUGGAAGUAACCCAAGUCCUCAUGAACAGGUGAAUUGUUAAAACACAUUUUGGUCUGUCCAUACAAAGGAAUUCUACUGAGCAAAAAAAUAAAAACAAACUCCUGAUAUAUAAAGUAAGUAAUGACUCUGAAAAACAUGCUGAAUAAAAGAAGUCAGGUAUAAGAAGGUGCAUACUAUCAUGUUAUUUCAUUUAUAUGACGUUCCAGAAAAGGGAAAACUAAUCUAUAGUGACAGACCACAGAGUAGUGGUUUGACUGCGGCUGGAAUUGAUUGCAAACCUUUGAGGUUAUAUUCUGAUUGUGAUAGGAGUGAUGUUUUGACUUUUGUCAAAACUCAUCCACUUAAGAUGGGUGCAUAUUAUUUUAUGUCAGUGUUACCUCAGUGAACAUUUUUGAAAAUGUUUAAAAAAUGUCACUUAUGUAAAGCACAAGAAUAAAGUUAAGUAUUUCAUGGGAAAUGUUUCUAAUAGGCUAGCACUUAACAAAAAUACAGCUCCAAUGUUGAUUUACUAAAAAAAAAGUUAUUUGAAGCAAAACAUUUAUUACUGAGUAAGAAAGGAAAAUUAGUCUUGAGGUCUCCUAAAUGUAAACUACAAGUUCUGGGGCUAUGACAUUUGAUGAGGAAGUCCAGAAGACAUUGGAGACUGUGGGAAUUAGCAAUCCACACCUUAUCAUUAAGCAUGCCUGUAAUGAUCAUCAUGACGGAAAGGGUCCUGGUGAGGGUAUUUCUGGUUUAAAAGAACCUCAACAAUUAAAAACUAGAAACCUCAGAGUGACAAGAACUUGGAUCCUUAGCUUUAGAUACUUUAUGCUGUGACCUACAGUGCUUGAUGUCUUUUAAAGACAGGUUAGUCAUUUCUCUGUAAAAUGUCUAUUCCACUCCUUAAGGGUGUUGAAAGGUUAAAAUAAAAUGAAAAAUAAGGUAAAAUGUAAUAUAUACCUUGCUCUGAUCACUGAUACCAAGAAUUUACAAACACAGCUACAAAUGCCAGUAUUUAAUAACCUCGAAUUAAACCACACUGUAUAUAUUAAAGAAGGCCAAGGAACAGAUGGGUGCAUGAGUGUGGAAAUUUGUAUGGAUUAACAGUAGAUUACAUUUUAAUCUUAAAUAGAAAGGAUGCUAGAAUAUCAGGUCAUGCCUCUCAUCAUUCUGGAAUACCAUUUAAGAUUUACAUAUAAAAGUUGGUAGAAUUAAAAAUGGAAUAUAUAUGUUAUCAAAACUCUGGCAAAAACAGGGCUGGGCAGUGUGGUGCUCACCUGUGGUCCCAGCUACUUAGAAAGCUAAGGUGGGAGGAUGAUUUAACUUUGGGAGGUCAAGGCUGCAGUGAGCAGUGAGACUCUGUCUGAAAAACAAAAACAAAAAAACUCUGAAAAAAAUAAAAGCAAAGGUAGCCUAAUCUCUUCCAGCCAAAAAAGAAAAAAAAAAAAAGCAGAUGAGAAGGGAAUAGGAAAUAUGGAAACCCACAAAUAAGAAAGAGUAAAACAAGAUGAAGUUUGUAGGAACAAAUUUAUCAAAUUACCAAAUGAAAAUCAGUUAAUUUCCCCAAUUACAGUAUAUGUUAUUCACAAUAAAACCAGGAAAACAUUUUAAGUUAAGAAAUGACCUGUUUAUUCUUCAUUUUUUAAGAUGGAAAUCAUUCCAUUUAAGAUGGAAAUCUUACAAAAUGAAGAUUGAUAAAAUAGAUAUUAUAUUUACACAACAGCAGUAAAUGAUGAAGAAGGCAGGGAAAAGAGGAGAGAAAUCAUAUGCAGUAGUUUGUCUGAAAAGUUUAGUAAGGAGAUUGGCUCUGACCUUCUCAGAGAAUUGCUACAUUGUACUAGCUGCUUUUCCUUCCUCAAUAGAAAAGAUUCCUGGCAGAUAAUAUCAUGCAUUGUCGAAGACCUAUUUUUUAUACACACACACACACACACACAUAUAUUCAGAAGUGUAUGUGUCAGUGUGUCUGUGUGUACUUCUGAUGGAGCAUUUUCAUACACCCAUGGGAGAAGAGACUAGAGCUUCUGACAACCACAAAAGGACAUUACUGAAGUAAGCAUCAGGUAAGGCAGUUUCUAAUUACAGUAAACACACCCUAAAUCUCCUCCUGCUGUGCACGGGGAAAGACAUAUGGAAAAUGCUGAGCAUUGUCUUGCACUCUAACAGUUUACAAUUUAAUUGUUGAGAUGGAUUGUUCACAUAUGUAAAAGAAGC
Long non-coding RNA from Callithrix jacchus (white-tufted-ear marmoset), 5079 nucleotides. Lineage: Eukaryota; Metazoa; Chordata; Mammalia; Primates; Cebidae. The record is from Ensembl.